RNAcentral lists this ribosomal RNA (468 nucleotides) under uncultured bacterium. RNAcentral's name for it is "partial 16S ribosomal RNA". It matches the Rfam family "Bacterial small subunit ribosomal RNA", at positions 28 to 507 of the family's 1533-position model. The record is from RNAcentral.
GACGAACGCUGGCGGCGUGCUUAACACAUGCAAGUCGAACGGAAAGGCCCUGCUUUUGUGGGGUGCUCGAGUGGCGAACGGGUGAGUAACACGUGAGUAACCUGCCCUUGCCUUUGGGAUAACUUCAGGAAACUGGGGCUAAUACCGGAUAGGAGCUCCUGCUGCAUGGUGGGGGUUGGAAAGUUUCGGCGGUUGGGGAUGGACUCGCGGCUUAUCAGCUUGUUGGUUGGGUAGUGGCAUACCAAGGCUUUGACGGGUAGCCGGCCUGAGAGGGUGACCGGCCACAUUGGGACUGAGAUACGGCCCAGACUCCUACGGGAGGCAGCAGUGGGGAAUAUUGCACAAUGGGCGGAAGCCUGAUGCAGCAACGCCGCGUGCGGGAUGACGGCCUUCGGGUUGUAAACCGCUUUCGCCUGUGACGAAGCGUGAGUGACGGUAAUGGGUAAAGAAGCACCGGCUAACUACGUG